UGGCGGACGGGUGAGUAACGCGUGGGUAACCUGCCUUACACAGGGGGAUAACACCUGGAAACAGGUGCUAAUACCGCAUAAGCGCACAGGGCCGCAUGGCCCGGUGUGAAAAACUCCGGUGGUGUAAGAUGGACCCGCGUCUGAUUAGCUUGUUGGCGGGGUAGAGGCCCACCAAGGCGACGAUCAGUAGCCGGACUGAGAGGUUGACCGGCCACAUUGGGACUGAGAUACGGCCCAGACUCCUACGGAAGGCAGCAG
This 258-nucleotide ribosomal RNA is filed under the name uncultured bacterium. RNAcentral's name for it is "partial 16S ribosomal RNA". It matches the Rfam family "Bacterial small subunit ribosomal RNA", at positions 96 to 354 of the family's 1533-position model. The record is from RNAcentral.